This 492-nucleotide ribosomal RNA is filed under the name uncultured bacterium. Its description in RNAcentral is "partial 16S ribosomal RNA". It matches the Rfam family "Bacterial small subunit ribosomal RNA", at positions 29 to 507 of the family's 1533-position model. The record is from RNAcentral.
AGUGAACGCUGGCGGUAGGCCUAACACAUGCAAGUCGAACGGCAGCACAGUAAGAGCUUGCUCUUACGGGUGGCGAGUGGCGGACGAGUGAUGGAUACAUCCGAAUCUACUUUUUCGUGGGUGAUAACGUAGGGAAACUUACGCUAAUACCGCAUACGACCUACGGGUGAAAGCAGGGGAUCUUCGGACCUUGCACGAUUGAAUGAGCCGAUGGCGGAUUAGCUAGUUGGCGGGGUAAAGGCCCACCAAGGCGACGAUCCGUAGCUGGUCUGAGAGGAUGAUCAGCCACACUGGAACUGAGACACGGUCCAGACUCCUACGGGAGGCAGCAGUGGGGAAUAUUGGACAAUGGGCGCAAGCCUGAUCCAGCCAUACCGCGUGGGUGAAGAAGGCCUUCGGGUUGUAAAGCCCUUUUGUUGGGAAAGAAAAGCAGUAGGUUAAUACCCCGCUGUUCUGACGGUACCCAAAGAAUAAGCACCGGCUAACUUCGUG